This 1021-nucleotide long non-coding RNA is filed under the name Citrus maxima (pomelo). Its description in RNAcentral is "long non-coding RNA (CMAX_LNC002725)". The record is from RNAcentral. Lineage: Eukaryota; Viridiplantae; Streptophyta; Magnoliopsida; Sapindales; Rutaceae.
UGAGGGUACCUGUCUCGUGGGGAUUUAUGUCAUUCCUACGUAUCUCUUUCAACGUCCAAUUUCCCUUGUUAGUUGCUGCCGUUACUGCAUCAAUCUCUUGUUCACUCAUCAUUAGUCGCGCAAGCUACUUUAUCGAAUCCUCUAGAUCUAGAUCUAGAUCCAUCCUUUUAAGCUUUGACCCGUAGUUAUUGAUCACUAACUCAAUCCCGCUAUUCACGACGGCGACCUGAGGUAAAAAAGCUAAUGUCACUGCCACUGCCGUCACCAUCGUUCCAACUGCCACCAACCCUUAGUCACCAAACCACUGACCCAACACUUGAGAGCCAUAAACAAAAAUACCCUCUCCGGCUGGUGUGUUUUUUAUUUGGCUUUUUUCUUUUGCUUUUAUUUUUUUAGUUUUUAUUUUUAUUUUUUUAAUGGUGGUUGGUUUUAUUAUUGACUGUUGGGUGUAGUCUAUCUGCUCCUCUUGAUAUCUUGUAUGGUUGUUGAUGAUGUCAACUUAGAGUUCAGUUCAAAAUUGUGUCAAUGUUCAAAUCGGGAGGAUAUGCCUGUAUUGGAGUUGAUAAAGGGCUCUAAUAGUUGUGCAUUUAUAUUCUGAUGACUUGGUGCAAGUUACCGAUGGCUUGGGUUGAGGGCUCAUUGAGAGGGGAUACUUUAGAUAGUUUGAUUAUAUUGUUGAGUUUUUGUGAUUUUUGGUGUGCUUGUAGUUAGUAGUUAGUAUUAUGUUAUGGCGCUCUAUGUUAAUUUUGUAGGAUUAUUUUCCUUCUCUAAUUAGAAAAGGAUCUCAUCUACAUUAGUUGAGGUUGGCAACAGUUCGUAAAAUUUCUUUUCAUUGUAAGUAGGUUUAAUAGAUGAAAUUCUUUUUUUCUUUAGGUUUGUAAUUAUAUUUGGUUUUAGGAAUUAUUCGAUCCUAGGCUUAAAUUAUAGGUCUUAUCCUAUUUAUUAUAUUUAAGCUUAGUGAUCGUGUAUUUAUGUCUCUAUGACAUUUUAUAGUUGGACUAGUUUUCAUCGUUAAUGAAAG